GGAUGUUCUGAAGACCUGCUCUCUAGGCCACGUACAGAGGACGCUCGUUCCUCGAGGGCCGCGUGCCCGCCUAGGGGAAAGUCCCCGGACCGCGGGCAGAGAGUGCCGCGCGCCGACGGCGCCCGCCCCGCCCCGCAGCCCACGCUACGCCGCUGAGACGCUCCCGGGCCGAGCGGGUGAGCGCGGGGCGGGCCUUCGUCACGGCCACAGACACGCAGGUAGUGCGGAGGCGAGUCCCGCCAGCCGGGGCCGCAGCACCAACAGAACGGGGCUCACUCUCAGGCCAUC
Chrysolophus pictus (golden pheasant) is the source of this 288-nucleotide ribozyme. It matches the Rfam family "RNase MRP". Rfam says of the family: RNase MRP is an enzymatically active ribonucleoprotein with two distinct roles in eukaryotes. NCBI's taxonomy places the organism in Eukaryota, Metazoa, Chordata, Aves, Galliformes, Phasianidae. The record is from Ensembl.